AGCCAAUCAGCAGUAGGGGGCGUGUUCACUCAUGAUAGGGGAGGAGAGAGAGUGAGCCAAUCAGCAGUAGGGGGCGUGUUCACUCAUGAUGAGGGAGGAGAGAGAGUGAGCCAAUCAGCAGUAGGGGGCGUGUUCACUCAUGAUGAGGGAGGA
This is a long non-coding RNA of Rhinichthys klamathensis goyatoka, 153 nucleotides long. RefSeq lists it as uncharacterized. The transcript has 3 exons. The record is from RefSeq and is a predicted model, not a curated record. NCBI's taxonomy places the organism in Eukaryota, Metazoa, Chordata, Actinopteri, Cypriniformes, Leuciscidae.